UGUUCUGAAUGCCGAGGAGAUGUUAUC
RNAcentral lists this small RNA (27 nucleotides) under Bombyx mori (domestic silkworm). RNAcentral describes it as "ovarian small RNA-36133". Lineage: Eukaryota; Metazoa; Arthropoda; Insecta; Lepidoptera; Bombycidae. The record is from RNAcentral.